ACAACAACACCACCUCCCAAAACCAGCCCAGUCCAAACCAUCCAACCGGCCCAAACACCCAACAAACCGACCCGCCAGCCCAACUUCCCUUUUUUUUCUCCCCUUAACAAGUACACCAGCAACCAACGACAGACAACACAUAAACUACACCUUCUUCUUUUCAAUUCUCAUGCGUUUUGCUCACUGGAAAAAGAUGGAUUAUUGGACUGUGAGAGAAAACAAUACUGUUUAAGUGCAGGAUCUUUUUUUUCAUUUGUGAGAUAGGCAUUCCCUUUAUGAAUAGAAAAACAUGCACAUGUCCUGUAGAAAUCCGGACUGAAUAAACCAACGACUUUUUUUAUAUGAAUAUAAAUGUUGUCUUCUUUACGUCCAUUUUUUACGACACCGUAAGGCAAUAAUCUACAUGCUCCCUUCCCUUUUCUAUGGGUCCUUUUCUUCACGUGUUGUUUCCUUUAAACCAAUUUCUUAAUCUUGCUUGUGACUUGAAUAUGGAAUUGAAAGCUUUUGAAGUGUUGUAGUUUACUGGAAACAGAGGUUUUCUUUGUAAAUAUGUGGUUUGUUGUUGAAAAUGCUUAUCUGGAAACUUUUUUUUCCCCUCCAAGUUCAUGAUAAUGAGUUUGGUAUAAGUUUAUUUGGUUUGAUACAUAAAUGGACAGUAUCUCAUGAUAAACAAAGCUGCAUCAUUUUUUUUUUUCCCCGCUCCCCUUUUCUUCUUUCGGUUAGUUGUCAUCCCUAUUGUGCGGUUGUAUGAAUACUAAUCUUAUCUCAUCUUUUCUUGUGCAUGAAAUCCCAUAUAUCGAGUCCGAAUGGACUCCAUCUCUUGCAUAUUUCGAGAUGGGCCGAGAAGGUCCGAGCUAUCGAGUCUAGCUUCAUGCUAAAGUCCUAUACGGACUGAUACAGUGCUGGUAUACAGCAGAUAUACGCAAGUAUAUGGGUCCAAAAACGGGAGUGGAAGGGGAAGCUUAAUAUACAGUUGGAGGACCGAAUUUAUGUAUACUUGACUGAAAUACAGUCAUAUAUACGUUGGAUAUACAGAAAAACGUGGAGAAAAGAGCUGUGAUAUACAGCUGAUAUACACUGCAGAAAUGGACCCAAAGUCCAUAAUUCAAAGCCCAAACUUGGGCAGCUUUAUUAAUGGGCCAAUUAAGGCCCAAUUUCAAUUCUUGUAUUAUUUUUGUAGCCUAUAAUUCAUCUUUGUUUAUAUGUACUAGCAUUCUAAUCAAUUAAUCUAGACAAAUUCCUCAAA
This 1246-nucleotide long non-coding RNA is filed under the name Capsicum annuum. RNAcentral describes it as "long non-coding RNA (CANN_LNC013671)". Lineage: Eukaryota; Viridiplantae; Streptophyta; Magnoliopsida; Solanales; Solanaceae. The record is from RNAcentral.